UACAGAGGGUGCAAGCGUUGUUCGGAUUCACUGGGCUUAAAGGGCGCGUAGGCGGGUGAUCAAGUCCGGGGUGAAAUACUCCAGCUUAACUGGAGAAUAGCCCUGGAUACUGGUCGUCUUGAGGGAGGUAGGGGCAUGUGGAACUUCCGGUGGAGCGGUGAAAUGCGUAGAUAUCGGAAGGAACGCCGGUGGCGAAAGCGAUGUGCUGGACCUCUUCUGACGCUGAGGCGCGAAAGCCAGGGGAGCAAACGGG
RNAcentral lists this ribosomal RNA (253 nucleotides) under uncultured bacterium. Its description in RNAcentral is "partial 16S ribosomal RNA". It matches the Rfam family "Bacterial small subunit ribosomal RNA", at positions 524 to 776 of the family's 1533-position model. The record is from RNAcentral.